Molecule: long non-coding RNA, 1072 nt
Organism: Podarcis raffonei (Aeolian wall lizard)
Lineage: Eukaryota; Metazoa; Chordata; Lepidosauria; Squamata; Lacertidae
Exons: 2
Source: RefSeq, a predicted model, not a curated record
UGUAUCUGUUUGCCACCCUGGGCUCAUUCAGGAGGAAGGGCAGGAUAUAAAUUUGAUCCAAUCAAUGAUAUUAUCACUAUCAUUUCCCAUUCCAAAGCACUGCUGGGGAGAGUGAAAGAAAGACAACGGCAUUCAUAAACAAAGCCAAAGAACAAACUCAAAACCAUAAUGAAUGGAGCUUCUGAGGGUAAUCAAUUUGCAUAAAUUUCCCUUGUCAGGAAAGCAGGCAGGCUGAAAAAGUUGUGAUGGGCACAGUGACCUCAUGCCACCUUGAUUUACAUUUUCCACUAGGGACCCACUCAUUACAUCCAUGUCUCAUAAUAAUCAUAACUCCAUGAUUGCUACACAUCUGAAAAUGGCUUGUGCAGGUCCCAGGGCAAUUAGUCUCAAUGGUGUUAUCAGAAUGGAUUGUUUCACAAUUAUUGUGAUGUGACAGAUGCAAAGGUGGAGGGGGAGAGGGUGGGAGGCAAGGCUUUCCAUCACGUCACACAGUGUCGGUUAAUAAUGGGAACAUAUAGCCAUUAAGAAAAACAUGGGCUCAUUUGCUUAUUACUACCAUGUUCUGCCUUGUUCACACUCUGCAAUAAUUCAUGCCUUCAGUGAAGCAUGGGUAGCUGAGCCUUCAAGUAUGGAUAAAUUGCUGGAGUGGCAAAAACUUACAAAUGAGCAAGGGAUGCCUUGAAUAUAUGUGUACAUUUAAAUGUGGGAUUUGCUAUUUCCUUGAUUCAAAUGCAGUUUUAUCCUGAGCAUCCAAAACAGAACUGGCCACAUUGUAACAUCAUUAUACAAAUCCAGGGUUGAGAUCACACUUGGAAUACUGAGUAUAAUUCUGGCUCUCUCACCAGAUAUGGUAGAGCUGGAUAUGGUUCAGAAAAGAGGUUACAGAAGGGAAUGGAACAAUUCCCAUUUGAAGAAAGGCCAUAACAUUUAGGGCUUUUUCAUUCAGAGAAAAGGUCAUAAGGAUGUAAUUACCGUACGUCAAAUUAGAAGUUCAAGUUCUUCAGCCAGAAUGAGAGCCCAAUGAUUGCCAGAGGUAGUCCCUCCUAGAUACACAUUGACAAGAAGUGAUUUU